UACGUAGGUGGCAAGCGUUGUCCGGAUUUAUUGGGCGUAAAGCGAGCGCAGGCGGUCUUUUAAGUCUGAUGUGAAAGCCCCCGGCUUAACCGGGGAGGGUCAUUGGAAACUGGGAGACUUGAGUGCAGAAGAGGAAAGCGGAAUUCCAUGUGUAGCGGUGAAAUGCGUAGAUAUAUGGAGGAACACCAGUGGCGAAGGCGGCUUUCUGGUCUGUAACUGACGCUGAGGCUCGAAAGCGUGGGGAGCAAACAGGAUUAGAUACCCUGGUAGUCCACGCCGUAAACGAUGAGUGAUAAGUGUUGGAGGGUGGCAGACCUUAAGUGCUGAAGCAAACGCAUUAAGCAAUCCGCCUGGGGAGUACGACCGCAAGGUUGAA
Molecule: ribosomal RNA, 376 nt
Filed under: uncultured bacterium
Lineage: Bacteria
Description: bacterial SSU rRNA
Rfam family: Bacterial small subunit ribosomal RNA
Source: RNAcentral